CUACGGGUUGCUGCAGGCGCGAAACCUUUACAAUGCACGCAAGUGUGAUAAGGGGAUCGCAAGUGCUCAUGCAUUGCAUGGGCUUUUGCCAAGACUAAAUACCUUGGCGAAUAAGUGGUGGGUAAGACUGGUGCCAGCCGCCGCGGUAACACCAGCGCCACGAGUGGGAAUCACAUUUAUUGGGCCUAAAGCGUCCGUAGCCUGUCUGAUGAAUCUCUUGUGAAAUCGUUCGGCUUAACCGAACGGCGUGCAGGAGACACUGUCAGACUAGAGACCGGGAGGGGUCGGAGGUAUUCCAUGAGGAGCGGUAAAAUGCUAUAAUCCAUGGAGGACCACCGGUGGCGAAGGCGUCCGACCAGAACGGAUCUGACGGUGAGGGACGAAAGCCAGGGGAGCAAUCCGGAUUAGAUACCCCAGUAGUC
Molecule: ribosomal RNA, 422 nt
Filed under: uncultured archaeon
Lineage: Archaea
Description: partial 16S ribosomal RNA
Rfam family: Archaeal small subunit ribosomal RNA
Source: RNAcentral